Long non-coding RNA from Dermochelys coriacea (leatherback sea turtle), 2970 nucleotides. RefSeq lists it as uncharacterized. NCBI's taxonomy places the organism in Eukaryota, Metazoa, Chordata, Testudines, Dermochelyidae. The record is from RefSeq and is a predicted model, not a curated record. The transcript is spliced from 2 exons.
ACACAAGAAGCUGGAAGCUUGAUCUCCCAUGAUCCCCAGAGAUCUACACAAAUCUCAAUGAAGCAAGGGGCAUCCCAAAUGGACUCCCUUGUCCCUGCUCUACCAUCCAGCCCCAUUGGUUCUUCCUGGCCCAUCAACAGCCCAACUUCUGCGAGAACCAUACUCCCAUUGGCUUCCUGCUAAAGAAGGGGUCGGGGGUAGUGGCAAUAUGAGUUAAUUCAGCAAAAGACUGUUUUAUUUUUCAAUUGUAAGCCCCACAGCUUGUGUGAGGAGAAGCUGGAGGAGCCUAGGUAGGUCUCUGAGCCCCUCAAGGCCUGCAGAGCUGCAGCCCCAAGGAGGUGCUUGGGGGAAGUGGAAGGGAAAGGAGUAUGUGCCUGAGGUGACCACAAAAUUCCUGAGGUGCAGGACAAAGUCAAAACCUACCAGAUUCUUAGGCCCCAGUUCAGCAAAGCAUUUGAGCAUAUGCUUAAGUGCUUUGCUGUAUCAGGGCCUUAAUUAGUUCAUCCCAGCUGAGUAGAAAAUUAAAACCUUUGAUCCCAAGAGAUGUUGCCCAUCCACAACUCCCAGUGAAGUCUACGGACACUGCAGGUGCUCAGCACCUAUCAGGAUCAAGGCUAUAAAGUAUCACUCCUCUUCCCAACACAGUCUAUUUUGUGUAUACCAUUUUCAAAGAAACAUCUGUGAUCACUUCACUGGACUCUCCUCUGCUCCCUUUUCAGAAGACGAUUGUUGCUGGUAACUGAAAUGAGUUCUCCCAUUUGUGAGACCAAAAGCCACUGCAGUCACACUGAAAUGAGAAACACUAAUGCUUACUGAGCAGUUUUAACCCUCACUAGGUAUAUACCCUAGUGCUAACUAAAAUGAGCACUAAUUUUGUAUAAAAGUAUCUAGGGCCUAAUCUUGUUGCCACUGAAGUCAGUGGGAGCAUAAUUCAUAAAUUCAUUUGAGGCCAGAAGGGACCAUUAUGAUCACAUAGUCUGACCUCCUGCAUAACACAAGGCAAUGAACCUCCCCCAGUAAUUUCUGCUUCAAGCCCAUAACUUCUGUUUGAACUAUAGCAUAGCUAUUAAAAGAUAACCAGUCUUGAUUUAAAGAACUCAAGUGAUGGAGAAUCCAUCACCUCCCUAGAUAAAUUGUUCUAAUGGUUAAUUGCCCUCACUGUUAGUCACAAUAAUCAUGUGAAGCGCAGAUCCAAUUAUGAAAGGGAAAAUGUGCUCAUUUUAGCUGUCACUAUGUGUCUGUAGUGUGCUGUAUACAUGUGCUUUUGUACUAAAAUGCAGGAAUGCACACCCAUUGUAAUAAAACACCCCAUUCUAGAAGCAUUCUUAUUACCAGUGUAAAAUUAAAAAUGGAUGUGGAUUAAUGUUAAUUAUCAGAUCACACAGUGCUAAUUAGCAACGUUCUGCAUAAGAGUUAGUUUAAUUUAGGGAUGACACUGCUUUUCUACUGAUAGCGAAUAAUGACAAAUUGUAUUUAGAAAGAUUACAAAAUCCAGCAUAGGGUUAGGCAGCAGGAGCUCAGUUAGUUACUGGGCAGCUUUGGCUGUCUUACACUCUGUGGUACUUCCAGUCCUGUGUGCAGAGUCACCUGUGCAGAAAAGAAAUAACUGCUUAGUUAAAAUACAAAUUAGGACAUCCUUAGUACAGAGAGUUUGUGAAGGCCAAGAAUAUGUGGUUAAUGGUGAAAAGCUAAUGUCACCAGGGGAGGGCCAACGUACAAAUGAUUCUUCCCCUGAGGUCAGGUCUACACUACAAACUUACACUGGUAUAACUACGUUGCUCAGGGGGGUGAACAAUCCAUGAAGUAAGCAGAGCGUCUCUCACCGACAUAGCUACUGCCUCUUGCAGAGGUGGAUUAACUACGCUGACAGGAGAAGCUCUCCCGUCGGUGUAGUAGCGUGGUAUCUUCACUAAAGCAAUACAGUGGCGAAGCUGCACUGGUGCGGCACUGCAGCUUUUUAAGCGUAAAGCUGCCCUGAGUGUAGCUGCCAGGUGUUUGUGACUCUUCCCAAGGCUAGCAACCAUUUAUCAGCCACCCCUGAGCCAGCUGCUUCUUGUCAGCAGGAAGGGUGACCCCAGAUGGAAUGGGUGCCCAAGGGGUUAUGAGGCAGGUGGAAAGUGGACUGGGGAGAGGGUCUCCUCAAGUAUACAAAGCAGAGUCUUGUAGACAUUUCCCUGCUACCCUGUCAGUGUAGGACACAGAAGGUUUUACAGGUCUCACCAUAGCCUGACACCUCUAUCACCUAGAGUUCUGACAAUGGCAUCCAUCACUGUAGGAUCUGAGCACUUCCCAGGAGCUCUCACAAGCUUAAACUCACAAAAGGGUUCUCCUCCACCCCCUCGUCUGCAUCUAGUUCCCUGAGGAGGGCAGAGGGAAUGGAGGGCAUGUCGUGACAGCAGGGGUGUAGCAGACUGGCUGGGGCGCCUGGGCAAUGGGUGGGGGGGGAAUUGGAUUGCAGCACUAGAACUACCAGAAAGGCGCUAACAAGCCAUGUAACGUCAAUAUCAUUUUCCUAGUACCGGGUGUCUGUCUGGUCUAUUUAGAUUGUAUCAUCUGUGGGGGAAGAACUAUGGAUUAGAUUUGUAAAGGAAUUUAGGAUGCCUAAAGAUACAGAUAGGUGCCUAGUGGGAUUUUCAUAUGGAAAAUGGGACUUAGGCACUUUUGAAAAUACCAAUAGGUGCCUAUCUGCAUCUUGAGGUAUCUAAGAACCUUUGUCUAAGAAAAUCUGACCUGUGUCUUUCUGUGUUUUAGUAUACCACCUAGUACACAGAUUCAUAGAUUCCAAGGCCAGAAGGGACCAUUGUGAUCAUUUAGCCCAAUCUCCUGUAUAACACAGGCCACAGAAGUUCCCCACAAUAAUUCCUGCUUGAACUAGAUCAUAUCUUUAAAAAAAAAUCCAGUGGAACCUCGAUCUUGACUGGCAUAUUUGGGCACCAUUAAUAACAAAUUAUUAAAAUAUUAUUAAUAUAA